Molecule: ribosomal RNA, 491 nt
Filed under: uncultured fungus
Lineage: Eukaryota; Fungi
Description: eukaryotic LSU rRNA
Rfam family: 5.8S ribosomal RNA (bases 150-303)
Source: RNAcentral
CGCCCGGGCUUCGGCCUGGUUAUUCAUAACCCUUUGUUGUCCGACUCUGUUGCCUCCGGGGCGACCCUGCCUUCGGGCGGGGGCUCCGGGUGGACACUUCAAACUCUUGCGUAACUUUGCAGUCUGAGUAAACUUAAUUAAUACAUUAAAAUUUUUAACAACGGAUCUCUUGGUUCUGGCGUCGAUGAAGACCGCAACGAAAUGCGAUAAGUAAUGUGAAUUGCAGAAUUCAGUGAAUCAUCGAAUCUUUGACCGCACAUUGCGCCCCCUGGAAUUCCGGGGGGCAUGCCUGUUCGAGCGUCAUUUCACCACUCACGCCUCGCUUGGUAUUGGGCAACGCGGUCCGCCGCGUGCCUCAAAUCGUCCGGCUGGGUCUUCUGUCCCCUAAGCGUUGAGGAAACUAUUCACUAAAGGGUGUUCGGGAGGCUACGCCGUAAAACAACCCCCUUUCUAAGGUUGACCUCGGAUCACGUAGGGAUACCCCGCUGAAC